UACGAAGGGGGCUAGCGUUGCUCGGAAUCACUGGGCGUAAAGCGCACGUAGGCGGACUCUUAAGUCGGGGGUGAAAUCCUGGAGCUCAACUCCAGAACUGCCUUCGAUACUGGGAGUCUUGAGUUCGGGAGAGGUGAGUGGAACUGCGAGUGUAGAGGUGAAAUUCGUAGAUAUUCGCAAGAACACCAGUGGCGAAGGCAGCUCACUGGCCCGAUACUGACGCUGAGGUGCGAAAGCGCGGGGAGCAAACAGG
Molecule: ribosomal RNA, 253 nt
Filed under: uncultured bacterium
Lineage: Bacteria
Description: partial 16S ribosomal RNA
Rfam family: Bacterial small subunit ribosomal RNA
Source: RNAcentral